UUAGCCAUAAACAUAAGUAGUUUCAAACAUUACUAUUCGCCAGAGAACUACAAGCCACCGCUUAAAACUCAAAGGACUUGGCGGUGCUUUAUAUCCAUCUAGAGGAGCCUGUUCCAUAACCGAUGAUCCCCGAUCUACCUCACCACUCUUUGCUAAUUCAGCCUAUAUACCGCCAUCUUCAGCUAACCCUAAAAAGGAACCAAAGUAAGCCAAAUAAGUAACCACUAAAGAAGUUAGGUCAAGGUGUAGCCUAUGGAGUGGGGCGAAAUGGGCUACAUUUUCUAUUACUAGAACAUUACGAAACCCUAUGUGAAACUCAUAAGAUAAAGGAGGAUUUAGUAGUAAAUUAAAACUAGAGUGUUUAAUUGAAUAGAGCAAUGAAGCACG
Molecule: ribosomal RNA, 387 nt
Filed under: Dipodomys compactus (Gulf coast kangaroo rat)
Lineage: Eukaryota; Metazoa; Chordata; Mammalia; Rodentia; Heteromyidae
Description: partial 12S ribosomal RNA
Rfam family: Bacterial small subunit ribosomal RNA
Source: RNAcentral